Molecule: long non-coding RNA, 987 nt
Filed under: Marmota monax (woodchuck)
Lineage: Eukaryota; Metazoa; Chordata; Mammalia; Rodentia; Sciuridae
Source: RNAcentral
UACAGACUCUGAGUUUUUUUUUUUUACAGAUUUGUUGGAAUUUGAGGAGGGGGAGAUUGGGACAGGAUGCAAGAACCUUGGGUAAUGCAGAUUCCUUCAGCUGAGGAGUGAGCCACCAGCAUCGAGCACUACCAGUCACUGGGGCAAUGAAAGCUUCAGUCCUAAAAACACAUCAAAGUAACACAUUGAGAGUCCACUAAAUGAGAUGAAACAUGAAUCCUAAGAACAUUAAUAUGGUUGCAUGAAUAUUAAGUAAAGUCAACUUUAAGAUAAGGAGUAAGAUAGGACAAAUAUAAAGAAGGACAUUUCAAAAUGAUAGAAGUCAACUCAUCAAGAAAUCAGUGAUCUCAAGUGCUUAUUUACCCAAUAACAGCUUCAACACAUGAAAGAAAAAACUGAUAGAACCAAAAGUAGAAGAUUUAAAAGCUCCAAAUAUAGUCAGAGAUUUUAACAUAAUCUCUUCCUGUACUUGAAAGAAGAAGUAGAAGAGAACUUCAGCAAGGGGCUGGGGUUACAGCUCACUGGAUAAGUGUGGGAGACCAACCUUGCACAUGAAUGAAUCAGACUCCCCGGCUGGGUGCUGAGGUGCUCAGUCACAGAAAUGUGGCAGAGCUUUUCCCAUCCUUCUUGGGUUCAAGGGUCUGUGUCUUGUGCAUGGGUGUGUCUUGCUACAGCCCCAUGGGUGAAGCUAUGCUCACCUGUUUCUUUGUAAUAUAACCCCUUGCCCUGUUUAGGAUAGAAUCUUCCAUGGAAGUGUCUUGUGUGUCCCCUUCUCUUACUGUGCCCUUGGGUGUGGCCUACCUACCCAGAUGUCAGUCAACCUGCUGACAGUGGACAUCGUGAAGCUAGACUCAGCCCCCUGAAACCUGACCCCUUGCCUCAUUUGAAAAGCUUCUCAAUAAAAGGGGUCAGCACAGUGCUCUCUCUCUCUCUCUUCCUGCGGACCCUUAAGGUCAGAGGAGCCAUCACAGCGACCCCAAAGAAAAG